AAUUUCCGGUAACAUAUCAGCACUUGGCCUUCACUGAGUCUGAUACACGCCAAAGAAAUACGAAAAAAAAAACAGAGAAAAACCCUAGAAUUUUUUAUUCUCCGCCGCGCUCGCUCCAACACGCAAGAUAGCCUCACCAGUCACCAGCGCCUCUACCUAACUUCUACCUCUUUCGCCUUUUUCUGUUCCUUUUCUUUGCAUUUUAUUGUGUUUUGUCUGAUAAUUGUUUUUUCUGCACCAAUUGAAAGAACGCACAGAAGAAGAAGAAGAAGGGGCGCAGUCACCCUCACCAGAUUGGCAACUCCGCCCCCAAGCGCCGCCCACAGCUCCUGCCUGGAGCAACUCUGGCGCUCACCCUCAGCCCAGCCUCAUCUCGGCCGCAACCCAGCCUUGCUCCUGCGAUCUGACCCGCUCCGGCAACAGCCCGGCCUUCCAGAUCGGACCGCAUCCCUGUGCAAGGCUAGCACAGAUCUCCGUCGCGAACCCAACACGUCGCCGACGGACCCCUUCCCAGCCCAGCCUUGUGCGCCGCCUAUCGAGAUUGAUCCACCCGAGCUCCGAUCGGGACUGGCUCGAUCCGAAUCCGGCAAUAGAGCCCUACCCGGCGUUAGAUCCAAACCGAUCCGGAAAAAAUGGGUUUUACCCUUUUCUGGUAAAUCAGAUAUUUACAAAGGUAAUUUCACAAAGUUACCAAAUGAUGGUUUUAAGAGUUAGUGUUUACGAUUAUAGAUUUACUCUUUACUGUUUACUGUUUUAUGGAAAUUAAAAUGGUAAAACAGAAAAGUAAUUACUGUUUAAGUUAUUUACUAUUUUACAGUAACACCAUUUUUUACUAAUUAUUUAUGAUUAAUUAUAACGAGUACAUCACUGUAUAUAUGGUUACAUGUUACUAAUUAAUCAUAUAAAUCUUAGGGAAAAAGACCAUUUGCACAAAAUAGAAAAAGUCAAACCCCAUUUCAAUGAUAAUCUUUUUUAUUAGCCCAUUUGAAUACAAGGUAUUUAUUUUAAGCUCAAAUACAUAAAUUUUUAUUAAAAUAUAAUAAAAUGAUAUUUUAAAAGACUUUUUUACCCUUAACCUUUAUUUAAAGAGAAAAAAAGAAAAAGAAGAAGGGAAGACUUUCCCGGAAGCACACCGGACACCAGCGCCGGUCGACGGUCACCGGAUUCCGGUCGCCGAACACCGGUUGCCUAAUUCUCGUCACCGGACACUGGCCGCCGGAUUUCGGACACCGGUCGCCGAAAAAUUGAUGGUGAUCGGAAAAUCGCUGGAGACGCCGGAGUCUCAUUGGAUUUUUUUGAAAAAAAUGUCACCAGAACCCACCGGAUCUUGCCGGAAGCAUACCGGCAAAAAAUGAAGUUUACUACCCCUAGUAAACUUUUACUGGGGGUAGUAAACUUACAAAACAGUAGCUCCAAUACCAUAAUUCACAUUGAAAAAGAGAAAAAUCAACUUAGAUGCGAAAAAAUGAAGUUUACUACCCCUAGUAAAUUUUACUAGGGGUAGUAAACUUGCAAAACAGUAGCUCCAAUGCCAUAAUCACAUUAAAAAGAGAAAAAUCAACUUAGAUGCGAAAAAUAAAGUUUACUGAAGGGGUUAGUAAACUUUUACUUAAAAUUUACUACCCCCUAGUAAACUUCUACUGAAGAUAGUAAACUUGCAAAACGGUAUCUACAAAUGCCAUAAUACACAUUAAAAUGGAGAAAAAUUAACUUAGAUGCGAAAAAAUAAAGUUUACUGGGAGUAGUAAAUUUUUUACUAAAGUUUAUUACCCCUAGUAAACUUCUAAUGGGAGCAGUUAACUUGUAAACAGUAUCUCCAAAUGUCAUAAUACACAAUAAAACAAAGGAAAAAUCAACUUAAUUACGAAAAAACAAAAUUUACUGGGGGUAGUAAAUUAGUAAAACCAAUGAACUCAUACUAUUCAAUCUGAAACUAUUCAAACAUACAUCCUUGGUAAGAAACCAAAUGAUUCCAAAUUCAAAUCACAUUUGCGGUUGAAACUUGAGGAUCAUGGAGAUUCAAAUCAUACGAAAAUACAAAUCACACGAAAAUUGAGGAUUGUUCCUGAGGAGCCUGCCAAUUUGAUCGUCCUGAUCUCCAACGCCGGCGACCGAGGAUUCUGGUUCAGAAUCGAAAGUGAAUCGGAUUUCCCUUCCAAGCAAAUCUGAAUCCACUAAAUCUGUACAUCACGAUGAACAAUUUGACCACCGGAAGAGGAAACAGAGCUUACCGGGAGGUUUACAUGACGGUCGACGGCGAGCUGGUCGGGUCGGAGGUGCCGUUUCCGAUGGUGUUCACCGACGAGAUGAAUCCAGAGAUCGUUGCAAGCGAGAGGCCCGGUUGUCGAGGAAGAUGGUGACGGUGUAGUGCCGAUGCUCCUUGCUCGAGGGCGUCGGUGGCAACGCUGUCUUCCACCAUGGAAGUUCGUCGAGGUGAGAGAGAGGAAGAGAGAGGAGAGAUGAGAGAUGAGUGAGAAGUGAUCGGGAAAGAAGAUAAGAAAGGAGUGGUGGGAAUAGAACAGUGGGUAUAAAUGUCUUUUUCUUAUGAAUAAUUGAGAUGGGCCUUGGGAAAAGAUUAUCAUUGAUGUGGGCAAUAAAUCUUUAAAAUUAGUAUCAUUAAGGCAUUUACUCUAAAUCUUAUUGUGUUUACUAAUUAAUCAUAUAAAUCUUAUUGUGUUUGCAUAUGAUAUACCCAUUGCCGUGUGACGAUCAACAUGUCAAUUUGGGUGGCAACCCGAUCAAAAUGUUCAUUGCGAGAGAAAGCACAUCAUACGCAAUCUAUUUGGCAGACUCACAAGUAUGAUUUACUGUCACACCCCAACUCGAGUAAAGGUAUAAUCUCGAGUUGAGAUGUGAAUCACACUCUAAUUACAGACAGUUUAAUAUCCAUAAUUAAAAUGAGACUGAUAUCAUUACAUGACGUAAGAAAAAAAACGAUCGCACCUUUAUUUAUAUUACAAACCUUUAAAAAGGGUGCUAAAAGCACACAGGUUUAAAGUAUUUACAAACAAACAGCAAACAAACCAAAACAAAAAUAGCGUUACUCCUCAUAACGUCUAUUCUUUAUUCAAUCUCUAUUUACAAACAAACAAAAGCAAAAAGGUUCUAAUUUGCAUUAUAAGAUUUCCAAAACACUUCGAGAAAACACCUGCAAUGGGUUUGAAUGGGAUGAGCUACACUUAACAAUACUAGAUAAAUAAAUAUAGCACAUCGCAACAAUGGCAACGAAACAAAUAAACAUAUUAAGAAUGCAAGUAUGCAAUGUUCGACUCAACUCUUCCCACUUCACAUCACCCUCAUAAAACUCUUCUCAUUUGUUAGUCAUCUUGUUAUACUCAUGGCCUCCAAACCCGAAACCCGAUUAGAUAGUUUUAUCGACUCCGGCGUCGAUAGGGCUUCACUCCCCUCUUCGUGCACAUGUGGGUUACCGUAGGUCUUGGAUGCCCCAUGAGGAAACUCAACUACACAAACGAUUUCCUAAUAGCAAUAUCCCAUACAAUCCCAAGAACUCAUUCAUUUUUCAACUUCCAUCGUGUACUCACUUUUCUCACAAUGUCAUGUAAUAAUAAAUCAAAUAGAACAUGCUUUCAUAUAUGAGCAUAUCAUAAUCAAAUCAAUAAGCAUAAUCUCCAAUGAUCAUAUAUCUAAGUCAAAAGACCAGUUCAAUAUCAAACAAUGCCAACAAUAUCGCACACAUCAAUGUCAAACAACUCCAACAAUAGCCAAACAAUUCAAGCAUAAUCACAACAUAAAACAAACGCCCCAUCAAACCCUACCUCGAAUUGCGCAACGCAAACCCGAGCUCUAGCUCUGUUGCCUACUCUUGUGGAUCACCAACGACCUCCUCGGAACCUUACCAAAUGGUAAAGUACAUACAAAGUUAGUAACUACCUUAAAGCAACUCAACACAAGGAACUUUCAAUUGCCAAAAAAAUAUAACUUAAUGUCGUAACAUUAAGCAAUUUACUGUCUGGACACUUUAACAAACAAAGGAUUCGAAGUAAACCACAAGUAAUCCAUCUUAACACAACUAGUACCAAAACAGUUUCCUGACCCAGUCCCUUUCACAAUGGAAUCUAGGUAAAACCAUAAAGAAUUUUAACUUCGUGGUCCUCUAAGGAAAUAAACUAGACAUCCUAAUGAAGAUCUUAGAAGUUGAAUCACCUGAAAAUGAUUUUCUAGAAAUAGUUAUGAAUUUCGAAAGUCUACUGAUAUGCACCAGUAAAAACAGAUAUAGCUGUGUAAGUGACAGAUUUGGGCAAGGAUUUUCACAUACCAAAAGUAACCCAAAACUAACGAAAUUUGGUACGUAUAUAGAGGGAUAUAUGAAGUUUACAAUACCACUUUUGGAAUCGAAAACAAAGAACUGAGCUAAAAGUUAUGAUGUUGUAAAGUUGGUCCGAAAUCAUGGUUUUCUGCACUUUUCUGGAAAAUUUCCAGCAACACGAAAUUUCGAAUUUGAAGACUUUGAUUCGAUUUAUGGAGUAGUAAAAGAGAUUAUAAAGCUUCAAAAUAGUUAGACAACAUUUCCAGAGCUCUAAGAUGUUCCUAAACACAACCAACAAUGAAUCAAAAAGAUCCAAAAUCUGAUUUGGACACCCAACUCAAGAACAUCUCAAGAACACCAUUCUUUUAGAGCUGCAAUCACUACGACUUCUAAACAAAACAAAAUGAAAUUCUAACUAACUCUGAUAUCUAACCAGGUCUGUGAAUUCGAAGUCCAAAUACUACUGUAUAAUUAAUCAUAGGAAACAUAUAAUUGAACAAAAAUAAGAAUCAAGGAUCAAGGUAAUUGAUAUCUCAAGAACUGAAUUCGAAAAUACCAAAGGGGAUGAGAAUCCUACCUUACACAGAGACAAGACCAAACUAAGUUUCCCUCUCACACCCACUAAGUUUCUAUUUGUUUUCCAAAACUCUCUCUUUGCUCCUCCCAUCUGUUUUUGAUCGAAAUCCAGUCUCCUCUUCUCCCAAUCCAUCUUAAUCUACUAGCCCAACUCUCUAGGCUCUCCUAUGUAUGCCAUCUCUCACUUUGCAUGCGUGCUGAGAGAGAGCACGACAAAAAGGGAAUGAUUGCUGCGUUCUUACUGAACGUAGUAAUUAAUUUUUUUUUUGACAAAAGUAAAAAUACCUAAAAUCUCAAUAAAACUAAAAAAUAACCUAAUAAAACAAACAAAAUAGUUUAGGAUAUUAGAUUUACGUUAAAGUUGCCCUUUUUGUUUAAAUUUUUUGCUAAUACAUGAUAUUUAGCAUGUUACUUGAAAAAUUAUUUUGUGAUCGUUGUGACAUGUUACAAUGUUAUAUGCUAUGCUUUAUUCAAAAAUGUUAUAUGCUAUGCAUAUGUAAUUUAAUUAAAUGAUUAUUUAUUAGCAUAUCAUAUAAAUUGUGUUGCUAUGAUAAAGCAAAUUGAUAACAUCAAAAUGACAAACUUGUGAUGAAGCAAUUUCACAAAGCAUCAAAAAAGAACGUGACCACUAUGAAUCUUGAUCCUCAAAUCUAAUUCAUAUAUUUUGGAAAUUGAUUGACGUGGAUGUCUAUAUGACUGCAUAGAAAGAAUGAUAAUGAAAUUUCAUGAGCGUAUACGGUAAAGAAAAUGAUUAAAUCGUAAAUUUUAUUGUGAUAACGAAAUUUCACAUUCGAAACGAAGAUUCCGCAUCUUAGAAUACUAUAGUACUCGUGGUUGUCUAUUGAGACUGUGACACUCGUAUAUCUUCUCCUUACUCUAUUUUACAGAUGGUUGAACCAUCAUAGCUGGACUUUAAUUCACUGGACUCUGUAGAACUUGAGUACCAAUUUGUUCCUCUAUUAAGCCAAUCAAGGCUCGAGCAUGGUAAAAUUAUGGAAACACUUUUCCACAAGUAGUUUAAUUAGCAUUUCUUAAACGACAAUGUAAGGUCCGUCAGGCGUCAGCAUAAAGACAUUUCUUAAAAAUAUAAAAGAAAUCUCAAAGCAAAGGGCAAUUACCAUGUACAUGUAGAUCCCUACAAUCGUUCAAAAGCAUGUGGGAACAAUGCACCACGUGAAAGAGGGUCUAGGGGACGUGACAUAAGGAGUGACGCACACUGCCAUUUUUUUUUUAAUAAACAAAACAUUCAUAAAUAUUGCAAGUCAGCAUAUGAAAUAGCUGUGACUUACAAGUAGUAUAGAGAAUCAUGGAAGCACGGGGAAUUGAAAAAGUAUAUUCAAAUACUCGGACUGAAAAAAGAUUAUCAAUCCCUUGAAGCUUACCAAUGGAAGAAGAUAAAGUGAUGCAAGAAUGUUUUAGACUUCGGUUAAAACUGCUCUAAGUUUUCUAAGAUACUUUAUGUAAAAUCUAUUAUGCAUUCAUUUAAUUAGACUGUUGUUUUGGUCUUAAAGUUUAGGACUAAUUUCAGUUUACUCCCAUUAACUUUAGGUCGAUCAUCAUGUUAGUCAUUUUUCUUUCAAUUUCAUCAAAAACACCCCUCAACUCCCAAUUUUCAUCAGCCGCGCAUGUCUAAACCUCCAAUCUCCAUCCAAUUCCUCUGUCAAGUGAUGACUUGAUAUCAAGAAGAAAGUCAAAUUCUGAAAGUUACCUUUCGCACCAUUUUUCCCCCAUAUCGAUACACAUCUUCGUUCUCAUCACAACCCCCUAACCUUAGUAAUUUUGGUGGGAUUGAAUGCAAUUUGUCUAUUUUUCCUUUUUCCUUUUUUCUUUUUUCUUGAUAUCAAGUCAUCACUUGACAAAUGAAUUGGAUGGAGAUUGGAAGUUUGGACAUGCGCGGCUGAUGAAAAUUGGGAGUUAAGGGGUGCUUUUGAUGAAAUUGAAAGAAGAAAGACUAACAUGAUAAUCGACCUAAGUUGAUGGGGGUAAACUGAAAUUAGUUCUAAAGUUUAUGUGGAUAAUGCGUACUGAAUUAGAUGAGACUUUGAUUUAUAUUCUGAAGCAUUGAAUUUAUUCAAUUUUUAUUUACUAUAAAUAUACAUGGUUCAACAUAUCAUCAUAAAGAUGCGAAGCAAUGCAUCCAACAAAUAAAAAUAAGGUUAUUCAAAUGAAAAGCAUAUCAUUCUAUCGACAUCAAAAUACUCAAAAGAAUAUGAGGUAUACCUUUCGGAUUAUAUAUACUCCCAUAUACUUUAAGGAAUGUAUAUAUGUAGGAGUAAAAAGGUGCUUAGUGAGAUUACUCAUAUUACUUUAAGGACUAAGCUAGGUAAUUAUUUAUGUCUUAUAAUUCUACUGUGACUAUGAUGACUUGAUCAUCACAACUAAUAAAUAGCGAGGCACUCUCUGAAAUCUGUUGCCUAAUGGCAUAAAAAUUAAAGUCAUAGAAGCUCUGUGUUCCCCACGAGCUAAUCGAACCUCGUUAAAGUUAUAAAGAAAUUCGUGCCAACGAUUAUCAUAUGAAAACCUAAUGUGAGAAUGGAAUGGAACUACCUCAAAUAAAUGCGAAUGGAAACGCAUUUUGAAGAACUGAACGAGUCACCUACAUUGAAAUGUAGGAUACUGACUCACAAAGGCUUUGAUAUGACCACUUAGAACACCGUGGUUUGGACAUGGGAUCCGUACUUUAAAGAAACUCACACAGACAUCGAUCCUAUCUUUUGAGUGAAUAAUAAAAUGGGACAAAAGUCUGUCACACUGCAAGGUGACGACACUAACUCUGACCGCAUGCACUGGUCGUUCCUAGCUAAUGCUACUCCAAUGCAGUCAUUGCACUCUAAAGCACCUGAUGCUUAACAUGCCUCCUAUUAGGCCUUGUUGAUUAGUUCAAAGGCACAUCACUCAUUUUGCAAAGCCUAUUCUUUAGCAAAAACAGGAUCAAGACCUUCCUAUGCUAAAGAUAACCAAAAUAUUCCAUUCUUACCAAGAAUAUAAUGUGAUAUGUGGACAUAUCCAUCCAGAAAUGCGGACCAUUACAAUACUUUAUGGUUAUGGAGGACAUUUCGACACACUGGUCACAAGUCGAAUAAUUAUCUACUAGAAAUGCUGCAUUUGCAAACUCUGAUCAUCAAUUCCAUAAGACUUGACAAAGCUGAGAUCUAGAGUUCACAUCAAAAGGACUUGAUGCUUAUUGCAUGACGAUCAAGAUUGAUGUAAAACAUCUUGACACCCCAGAUGCAUACUCACAAUGGUCUCGUAGAAGCCACCAUAGAGGGUGGCUAGGGCACUGAUUAUGCACACCAAUCUGUCUAUACCUACUUUGGAUUAUGCAAUAUUGCACGCAAUUUUACUUAUUCGUUUUUAGGCCCACUGCUAGCCAACUAUUUCAUGCGUACCAGUUGGAAACUAGACAUGAGCCUGAGAUUUACACAUUUGGUUGUGCAGCAUAUGUGCCUAUUGCGCUCCCACAACACAUCAAAAUGGGUCACCAAGAACGAAUAUGUAUAUUUGUUGGAUACAAACCUCUAACGAUUAUCUGCUAUUCAGAACCUUUACAGACAAUCUCACCGCUCGAUUUACAGAUUGUCACUUUGAUGAGAUAGUCUUCUGGUCAUUACAGGGAGAUAAGAAAAAUAAUUUUCUAUGGGAACGACAUGAAUUGUCGUGGUUGUCCCCACUCUGUCUCAUCCAGAUCCCCAUAUAAUCAAUAUCUAGAACGUAACAGUUUUGAUGCCUGAUGUAUUUAAAGAUAUUGCCAAAGUGAUGAGAUCAUACAUACUAGCUGCAAACGCCUGCAAGGUUAAAAGUCCCCAAUAAGGGGCACGUUGCCGCAGAUAGAGGCGACGCAACCAUACUUAGUGGAGGUGUGGUUGAGGCCGUGGUUCCCUAAGGGACUAAGGGGAGGCCACUUGGUUCGAUCGAUACUUAUGUAAAUGAAUUGGGCGAAUUAGGCACAACCUCAUCAAUGUAAAGAUUCUCUCUCAUGAGAUCGUCUCUGAUUACAGUUAUGUCCACGAAUCAAUAUUGGAGGACGCUCCGAUGUUUGAAAUGAUUCCAGAGACAAAAUCUCAACGGAUUGCUAGAGUACAUACACAUUGAUGAUUGACACUGUUGCUCAAGGAAUAAUAGAGCAUGAAGGUAUCGAACCACGCUCUGUUGAAGAAUGUCAACAAAGAGCAUAUUGUCCUACAUAAAAGUACAAUUCAGGAAGAGCUAGAUUCUCUAACAAAGAGAUAAGUAUUUGGUUUGGUAGUGCUAACCUUAUCAAGUGUAAAUAAAUAAGUCUUUGUCAUAAAGUGUAAUGAGAAGAAUGAAGCCCUAAAGGACAAGGCUCGCCUUGUGGUGCCAAGGUUUCUCGCAACGCUCUAGAUUGACUACGAGGAGACAUAAUCUCCCAUACUGGAAAUACAGCUCAUCGAUGUGGUUACUACUUAUCUCAAUGGGGAUCUUGAUUAGGAGAUAUUCAUAAAAGUGCCUAAUGGCCUUAAACUAUCCAACUCAAGUAACUAUAAACUACGGAGUGCGUUUGCAAUUAGAAUUGAAACGCUCACUUUAUAGAAGUGACUACUUGGUUGGAAAUGGAUACAAAAUGACGAACAAUGCCUGUGCGUACCCAUAAAGAGAAAAGAGUUCCGGAUUUGCAAUUAUAGCUAGGUAUGUUGAUGAUAGGAACAUAGUAGGUACUCUUGAUGAAAUAAGAGAAACCAUGAGGUACAUGAAAUCCGAAUUGAGAUGAAUAUUCUUGGGAAACUCGGUUAACAACGAGUUUGUGGAACUAAUCCACCAGUCUGCAUGUGUCCAAAAGAUUCUCAUGCGAUUUACUUGGACGAAUUGCAUACUGUUAGCACUCCCAAUGAUUCGUCGAUAUUUGGAUGUAAAGGAAUAAUCCAUUUCGUCUAAAGGAGAUGACGAAGAAAGGUUGAGAAUCGAAAUUCAUUCUCUAAAGUGCAAUAAGCACAAUAUUGUACUUAGCCCGAUGAACUCGACUGGAUAUAACAUUCUCAAAGAAUGGUUGAGAAUCGAAAUCAUAAGCGCAAUUUCGUCCAAAGGAGAUGACGAAGAAGGGUUGAGAAUCGAAAUUCAUUCUCUAAAUUAAGUGCAAUAAGCGCAAUAUUGUACUUAGCCCGAUGAACUCGACUGGAUAUAACAUUCUCAAAGAAUUUAUAUAUAGCUAAACUUAGCUCAGCGCCAACGCAGUGUUAUUAGAAAGUAUAAAGAACGUAUGCUGAUCCCUAAAUGAACCAUUGACUUGGGUUCGUCCUAUCAUUAUAGAAAGACGAAGGGAAUCAAAUGGAACUGCAACCCUUUACAUCAAAACCUCAAACGAUGCUUUGGUUGGGGUUCACUAAUGUCAGGUAUCUAUGGUCAAUAGGUUGUUCCUAAACUGGUUAUGUAAUCGUCAUUGCGAACAUGACGAUACCUCGUGAGAAACAUUAGACUCUCCUCAAGAUUUAAGUGAAUCAAGUAAGGUCCAAGGAGAAUAAGAAAGACUUGUUUCUCAAAUCGCAGCCUACGGCUAUAUCUGAAAGGCAUGUGAGAAACAUAGGAAUGCAAAGACGUUCCUAGCUCACUUGAUUGAUGUAAGGAUCAAGAGGAGUGUAGACUUCAAGGGGAGUCUAACACAUAUAGGUGUGUUGUGCUCUUUUUCUCUUCGACCAAGAUUUAUUUUGUCUCACUGGGUUUUGUUACUUUGCAAGGUUUUUAACGAGGCAAUACCUCAUGCACC
RNAcentral lists this long non-coding RNA (10562 nucleotides) under Fragaria vesca (wild strawberry). RNAcentral's name for it is "long non-coding RNA (FVES_LNC000289)". The record is from RNAcentral. Lineage: Eukaryota; Viridiplantae; Streptophyta; Magnoliopsida; Rosales; Rosaceae.